This 497-nucleotide ribosomal RNA is filed under the name uncultured bacterium. Its description in RNAcentral is "partial 16S ribosomal RNA". It matches the Rfam family "Bacterial small subunit ribosomal RNA", at positions 28 to 507 of the family's 1533-position model. The record is from RNAcentral.
GAUGAACGCUGGCGGCGUGCCUAAUACAUGCAAGUCGAGCGAACAGAUGAGGAUCUUGCUCCUCUGACGUUAGCGGCGGACGGGGGAGUAACACGUGGAUAACCUACCUAUAAGACUGGGAUAACUUCGGGAAACCGGAGCUAAUACCGGAUAAUAUAUUGAACCGCAUGGUUCAAUAGUGAAAGACGGUUUUGCUGUCACUUUUAGAUGGAUCCGCGCCGCAGUAGCUAGUUGGUAAGGUAACGGCUUACCAAGGCAACGAUGCGUAGCCGACCUGAGAGGGUGAUCGGCCACACUGGAACUGAGACACGGUCCAGACUCCUACGGGAGGCAGCAGUAGGGAAUCUUCCGCAAUGGGCGAAAGCCUGACGGAGCAACGCCGCGUGAGUGAUGAAGGUCUUCGGAUCGUAAAACUAUGUUAUUAGGGAAGAACAAAUGUGUAAGUAACUAUGCACGUCUUGACGGUACCUAAUCAGAAAGCCACGGCUAACUACGUG